Rattus norvegicus (Norway rat) is the source of this 69-nucleotide non-coding RNA. The record is from Rfam. Lineage: Eukaryota; Metazoa; Chordata; Mammalia; Rodentia; Muridae.
GGGGAUUUAGCUCAGUGGUAGAGCGCUUGCCUAGCAAGCACAAGGCCCUGAGUUUGGUCCUCAGCUCCG